RNAcentral lists this ribosomal RNA (387 nucleotides) under Salmonella enterica subsp. diarizonae serovar 60:r:e,n,x,z15. RNAcentral describes it as "partial 23S ribosomal RNA". It matches the Rfam family "Bacterial large subunit ribosomal RNA", at positions 1194 to 1502 of the family's 2925-position model. The record is from RNAcentral. Lineage: Bacteria; Pseudomonadati; Pseudomonadota; Gammaproteobacteria; Enterobacterales; Enterobacteriaceae.
CCGAAGCUGCGGCAGCGAACGUAUCACUUAAAACGAUUCAGAAGCUUACGAUUGACGGAGCGAAGCGACGUCAAAGCGUAUACAAAGUCGAGUCGGUUUAAGGAUACGUUCGUUGGGUAGGGGAGCGUUCUGUAAGCCUGCGAAGGUGGCCUGUGAGGGUUGCUGGAGGUAUCAGAAGUGCGAAUGCUGACAUAAGUAACGAUAAAGCGGGUGAAAAGCCCGCUCGCCGGAAGACCAAGGGUUCCUGUCCAACGUUAAUCGGGGCAGGGUGAGUCGACCCCUAAGGCGAGGCCGAAAGGUGUAGUCGAUGGGAAACGGGUUAAUAUUCCCGUACUUGGUGUUACUGCGAAGGGGGGACGGAGAAGGCUAUGUUGGCCGGGCGACGGU